UAACAAAUAUGUUAUAAAAUUAAAAAAAUUGGACGAAUUGCACCCGUUAAUUAGCAAAAUAUUUGCGGAAAAAAAAUAAACGGAGGAAAUCCCUUCCCCCAAUAAUAUUGCAAAAAACGAUCCAAAUAACGGUAAAAUGCCCCAAAUUAAAACUAAUGCCAAAAUAUUUUACGGGGAAAUCGCAUAUAGAUAUUUAAACGGCGGAUAAAAAUAUAACCGUUAAAAAAUUUUAAAUAUAAUUAUAAACGGUUCCGCCGGAAAAUUUAAUCGUUUAUUUAAACGGAUUUAUAUUAAAUAAUAAAAAAAACGAAUUUGGUAUAAAUAUAUAUUUAACCAAUAUUUAAAAAAGAAACGAUAACGAUAAAAAAGUAUUUCAAAAUAUAAACCGCAAUAAAAAAAUAAUACCGCAAAUUAUUAUAUAAUUUGCGGCGAAAAUCCUAUUUUGGCAAUAAAUUUUCGAAUCCAAAUUUAAAAAAAUCGGUUUCGGGUACGUUAUUUACAAAAAAAAUGAAAAUCGAUAACGGUUACGAAAAAAUAAUUAAAACAGAACUUUUCGACGCGGAAAUAUGGGAAAUAUUUGCAAUGUUAAAAAUAAUAAUGGAAUUUACCAACGGUAAAAUCCACGUAUAUUUGGAUAAUAAAACCGCAAUAGUAUAUUUAUUAGGGAUAAUAUUAAAUAUAUUACAAAUAUAAUUUUUAAAAUACCAGGCGUUAAUAAAAAAAAAUAAUAAUAUGUUGGGUAUUAGGAUAUUAUAACGUUCCAAAUAACGAAAAAAUUAAUAAAUUAGCCAAAAAAGGAAUAAAAUAUGGAAUAUUUGCGAAUUACGAAUUAAUAACCGCAUAUUUUAAAAAGGUGGAUAAAGCCAAAUACCGCAAAAUUUUCCGACAAUAAUAAAUAAAAAUCGUUAAAAAUAAGAAAUUUAUAUAAUAUAAUAAUUAUAUUUUAUACGCACGAAUUACGUUAACGGACAAAUUUCGAAUAUUAAAUAAAAGAAAAUUGCAUUAUUUAUUAACGGCGAAAUUGGGAUACGGCGAUUUUGUCAAAUAUUACGAAAAAUUUAAUUAUACGGAUUAUUUAAUUAUAUAUAAUUGCGGUAAAAAUAAAACGCCGGCGCAUUUAAUAUAUUAUCGAAAAAAUUAUAUAUAUUUGGAAAAUAAAAAAACAGGAAAAAAAAUGUAUUUACCAAAUAUUUUCGGUUAAAGGUGGGAAACGUUUAUUUUUAUAAUAAAUAAAAAAGAAAUUUACGAAAAAGUUUGCCCAAAAAACCCCAAAAAAAUAACCCGGGAAAAUAAAUUCGAAAAAAAAGAAAUAUAAAAAUAUAAAUAAUUCCAAUAUUAAUUGUUUUUAUACCGUUUUAAUAACCGGAAUUAAAAAUACCCCGGUACCCAUUUUUUAUAUUUAUUUAUUUAAAUAAAAAAAUAUUUCGGCCGGAAAUUUUAAAUUCCGACGUAAAUUAAAAACGCCGUUUUAAAAAAAAAACCAAAAUUGUUUGGUUUUUAUCCGGUAUUUUAUUAAUUUAUUUAAAAUUAUCGGCGGGCGAAUAAACCGAUUCCGGAAAGUUAAUUAUAAACCGAUUUACUAAUUAAUAAUAGGGGAAUAUUUCCCGCGGCGCGGGCGCGGGUUAGCAAAAACCAGUUCCGUACGCAAAAUAUAAUAAUUUCCCCCCCCCCCCCGAAUUAAAUUUAAAAUCCAAAAACGGGUAAAAAAUAUAAAUAUAUUUAAAUAAUUAUAUAAAAAUUUUGCCUUUUUAACCCGCAAAAACUAAUAUAAUCCCGCCAAUAAUUUUAAAUAUUGGAAAUCCGCGCGCCGGCCGGCGCGCGAACCCAUUUAUUUUAAAUAUAAAAAAAACAAAAACGGUAUUAUAAUAUAAAUUGUAAUGGAAAAUAUAUAAAUAUAUAAAAAAACCCAAUAUAUUUAUUUGGAAUAAAAUACGCCCCGAACCAUUUAAAAUUUCAAUUAAAAUUGGAAAUUUUUAUAUAUAUUAUAUAUUUAUAUAUUUUGGAAAUUUUCGGUUAAUUCCAAUUAAAUCGCCAAAAAUAAUAAAACCGACCGAUUCAAAAUAUCCGGCGUUCCGGACCGCGAUUUGAAAAAUUUAGGCAAAUUAUAAAAUAAAAAAUUUAAAGGAAAAAUCCCCCAAUUAAUAAUUAUUUACCCAAAUUAUUUUAUAUAUAUUAUUAUUACGACCAGAUAAUU
This 2194-nucleotide small RNA is filed under the name Pyricularia oryzae. RNAcentral describes it as "Magnaporthe oryzae sRNA M_BR32_EuGene_00055381". The record is from RNAcentral. Lineage: Eukaryota; Fungi; Ascomycota; Sordariomycetes; Magnaporthales; Pyriculariaceae.